UGGGAAGAUGCUGUGCCUCGAGGAUUAGUUUAAACAGGGGGCUAUAAAAGAUGUAACAGAUGCAAACUGUAACACAAGGGCCAUUAACCCUUUCUCUGCCGGGCACACUCAGUCCCCACGCCCCGCACCUAUUGUCUCCUGUGCUAGAAGCUUUGCAGAAAACCUGGAAAGGGAAAUCCUGAAAUAAAGAAAUGGUCACACAAGUGUCUGGGAUGAAACAGCUGGCCUGUCUAUAUUCAUCCUGAGACACACGACUGCAUAUAAAUACAUGUUUAAUAAAGUAUUUGCCAAGUCCUAAUUGCUGAAUAUAAUGAAUUGGAACUAGAUGCGAAAAUAGAGCAGGACCUCUCCCCUUGAUGAGUUUUUAUUCCAGCCAUAUAAUUCUCAAUAAAACUUUUCCUGGGCUGGAUAGCAAAGGGCACCUUUGGUUACCUGAAUGGACAGGUACAGGGGAAAUUAUUUGGGGGAGGGAAAAAGGAGAGAAAAGCAAGGAGAGAGAGUGUGAGUGUAAGAGAAGGCGAAGAAGCCACUCUUGAGAAAAGCUUGCCAUAAAGGAGCUAAACCCACCUGAAAUUCCUACCCACGGACACCCCUUCUCACUUCAGACUCACAUCCCCACUCAAAAUGAGAAAAUUAGAAAAGGAGGAUGGAGGACGAGCACACCAAAAAGGGAUAAAAAGAGAGAAAAGGGGAGGAAAAAAAACCUACCUGCGAAGUCUUGUUUGUAGUUUUGGCCAGAAAUGGUGAGAAGAAAAAGCAUGAAGAAGCCGCGAAGUGUGGGGGAGAAAAAGGUGGAAGCGAAGAAACAGCUCCCGGAGCAAACUGUACAAAAACCUCGCCAAGAGUGUCGGGAGG
RNAcentral lists this antisense RNA (855 nucleotides) under Pongo abelii (Sumatran orangutan). The stretch from base 42 to 169 matches the Rfam family "ZEB2 antisense RNA 1 conserved region 1". The record is from RNAcentral. Lineage: Eukaryota; Metazoa; Chordata; Mammalia; Primates; Hominidae.